AUGAUGAUCAACCUAAAUAAAAUUAUACGGUUAGAACCUGAAUCUGUGUGAAGAUUAUACUAGGGCGGACUGAUGUU
Molecule: small nucleolar RNA, 77 nt
Organism: Pectinophora gossypiella (pink bollworm)
Lineage: Eukaryota; Metazoa; Arthropoda; Insecta; Lepidoptera; Gelechiidae
Product: small nucleolar RNA U43
Exons: 1
Source: RefSeq, a predicted model, not a curated record